Molecule: small nuclear RNA, 64 nt
Organism: Rhinopithecus roxellana (golden snub-nosed monkey)
Lineage: Eukaryota; Metazoa; Chordata; Mammalia; Primates; Cercopithecidae
Product: U7 small nuclear RNA
Exons: 1
Source: RefSeq, a predicted model, not a curated record
CAGUGUUAUAGCUCUUUCAGAAUUUGUCUAGCGGACUUUCCAGUUUUUGCUGGAAAGCUCCCCA